This 43-nucleotide non-coding RNA is filed under the name Rhizobium etli CFN 42. Lineage: Bacteria; Pseudomonadati; Pseudomonadota; Alphaproteobacteria; Hyphomicrobiales; Rhizobiaceae. The record is from RNAcentral.
UGGGGUUGCGAUCACCCCACGAGGCGACAUGCUGAAGAAUCGC